GUGCUAACACUGGUAGCACAUAUACUAAAACUGGAAUGGUACAGAAGAGAUUGGUGUGGCCCCCAGGCAAGGAUGACAUGCAAAUUCACGAAGUGGGGUGCCUGGGU
Small nuclear RNA from Zalophus californianus (California sea lion), 107 nucleotides. The record is from Ensembl. NCBI's taxonomy places the organism in Eukaryota, Metazoa, Chordata, Mammalia, Carnivora, Otariidae.